UCUAGGAACUGCAAGAAAGUUAAAUUUUUAGAGAUUCAUGUCUCUCUUUUAAUAUGAAAUUGAAAGUUCCUAUUGGGACUCUAAAUUAGUCAUAUACAAAAUGAUUUGGUUAUUGUAGAAAGGGGAUAUCUUCUUUCUCUCGUUCCCAAAAUAUUUUGUCUGUGUAUAUUUCCUACAGCUAAAAAUGUACAUUGAUGCAAGAAAUUAAAAGAUAAAUUAUUUUAAGCGCAAUACCAUUGUUCUUUAAAAAUAUUUAAAUAUACCUAUCAGUGUACACAAAAUAUGAGUAAUUUGUUCUAGACACUCUUAAAAGCGCAAAAGAAAAAACAAAGCAGGCUGAAGAUACAUCAAAUGUUGAUUAUGAUACGGAUGAUUCUAGUAACUGUAGAGAUAUGGAAACACGAAAAAUUAGAAAAAGAAAACAUUCUUUUAUCUAUGAAAGUGAAGUUGCUGAUGAUGAAGUUGAAGACAAUUUUCAAGAAAGCGAAACAGGAAAUACAAACAUCUGUAGUAUUACUAAACAAACACCACCUGAUCACUUGAUGGCAAUACAGUCAAGCUCAGGGUUGCAUAUGUCAAAAUAUCUAAACAAUCCACAUUCAAUACAUCUGAUAGCGAGCCUGGUAUUUUACACCCUGGUGUUUUGUCCAAUCAAUCAAAAACUAUCAUGGAAACACCAGUUCACGUGUUAAGUUCGAUCAACUCAUCUAUUCUUUUGGAGAGGUUAAUAACAACCCUUGAAGAAAUUAAAGAAACUCAAAAGACUCAUUCUGCAAUGUUGCAGUCUAUUAUGCGACAAAUCAAUACACCUCAGGUGGAAGGAUUGAUUGCGAAACAAUUUAAAUUAUUUGGUAAUAAAACUAUUUGUUAAGUUAAUUCGUGUCUAUAGAGACCUGUUUACGACUUGCACGACCACACGUACGAAUAUCACCGUACGGCAAUCCUCGAAUAUCUAAGAAAAUAGUAAAUCUUAUAUAUUUUAUUUAAUAGACGAAUAUUUUUUAAGUUCAAACUAUAUUUCUGAUAAUAACAAAUCAGCAUGAUCUGAUAUAGAUUUUUUUUUCCGGCUGUCUUGGCCUCGAUCUUGGGCGUUAGCAAACCAAUUACGUAACUCAACCUCUAUUACUUUUUGGGUUGCAUUAGCUGUCAAUGCGUUUCUUUUAACUGCACCUAAACAAAAACGAAAAUAAUUGUAAAAAUUAUUAUAAUUUAUGUUUAAGUAAAAAUAUCUAAUUUUAAAAAUAUUCAAAUAAAAAUAAUUUAUAAAUUAUACAUAUAAUGAUUGAUAUGUGAAAAGCAUAACAUACCACAGACUACAUCAAAUAUUUCCAGUUUCGAAAAGCAUACUUUUCCAGCCUGCCCAGAAAGAUUACACAGUCUUCCAAGAUUAUUAGAUAGAAUGAAUUUCAUCAUUCUUUUAACGGCAUCAUCCAAGUGCUAGUCUAACACCCCAGCAACAUAUUUUAUAGCAUGAAAUAAAUAAAAUAUGUAUAGUUAUAUUGACAUAUUUUGUUAAUAAGCUGAUGAAUAAUCAUCUGAUGAGUGAUUUUAAUAUGAAGGAUAAGCAUGGAAAGCAGCCCUUUGGUGUUACUUGCCUUUAUAAAAUAAUAAAAACAAACGCAUUUAAUUUAAACAAUUGCAAUGAGAAGGAUGUCGACGAUGCCAUUUCAAAGCACCUUAAGCAUGCGCCAAAGAGAAAAGGUGGACGUAAAUUCACCGAAAAAAAUGUUUUACAACGAUAUUUUGAAAUGUUUAUGUAACGUAUUUGUUUAUAAAUGUAUUAAAAUACAGUUAUA
Molecule: non-coding RNA, 1796 nt
Organism: Hydra vulgaris (swiftwater hydra)
Lineage: Eukaryota; Metazoa; Cnidaria; Hydrozoa; Anthoathecata; Hydridae
Source: RefSeq, a predicted model, not a curated record